Molecule: ribosomal RNA, 243 nt
Filed under: uncultured bacterium
Lineage: Bacteria
Description: partial 16S ribosomal RNA
Rfam family: Bacterial small subunit ribosomal RNA
Source: RNAcentral
GCAAGCGUUAUCCGGAUUCACUGGGUUUAAAGGGUGCGUAGGAGGGUAGGUAAGUCAGUGGUGAAAUCUUCGAGCUUAACUCGGAAACUGCCGUUGAUACUAUCUAUCUUGAAUACCGUGGAGGUGAGCGGAAUAUGUCAUGUAGCGGUGAAAUGCUUAGAUAUGACAUAGAACACCAAUUGCGAAGGCAGCUCGCUACACGAAUAUUGACUCUGAGGCACGAAAGCGUGGGGAUCAAACAGG